Non-coding RNA from Anncaliia algerae PRA109, 73 nucleotides. The record is from Rfam. Lineage: Eukaryota; Fungi; Microsporidia; Tubulinosematidae.
GGUCGCUUAGUCUAGUGGCUAUGAUUCCUGGUUUGGGUCCAGGAGGUCCAGGGUUCGAAUCCCUGAGCGACCC